Molecule: long non-coding RNA, 797 nt
Filed under: Sinocyclocheilus grahami
Lineage: Eukaryota; Metazoa; Chordata; Actinopteri; Cypriniformes; Cyprinidae
Description: lncRNA (ENSSGRG00000043796.1)
Source: RNAcentral
GGGCAGUAACUGAUGCUCUGCUGCCCUCUUGUGUUUACUUAAAUUUACUUUAGUGUUAGUAUUACAGAAUUAUAUUAAGUUGCUGUUUGUAUGGACUCAAGGUAAAUGCAGCUUUAAAUGUAGCGCGGUCACUGAUAGGCUGCUGCAGCUGCUGGCAGUCUGAUUGACAGGCGAUCUGACCAAUCGUCACGCGUUGUUAUGUGCCUCCGUUGCUGUCCGCCAUUUAAUCCGACAAACAAAACAGUCCGACAACAAGCAUGUCAGGCGUAGUGAACUAACUAACUUGGAAAAUGGUGAAAAGGUGCACGUAUGUGGCUUGCAACGCAGACAGCAGGUACCCAGAAAGGCUGGGCGACAUACAGUUUCACCCGUUCCCUAAACCUGCCAGAAAUCUGCAGAAGUGUAUGAAGUGGAUAAGUUUGUGUGGCCGGCCUCAGCAGCAGCUCUGUGACAGGCUGAGAAACCAUUCCACAGCCAAACACAUCUAUGUGUGCUCAAAGCACUUCGUUGACGGCCGGCCGACACCUGCUCACCCCGAUCCUCUGCCAGCAUUGAUAGAUAACUGUAGUAUGUUGCGAACCGUGUCUGUGCCACCAAGAGAAGGACUACGAGAUGACCGCAAACCACACAAUGCUGAAAACAUCAGGUGUGAUCUACAAGGCGUUUCCAUUGUUAUUAAAAAAGAGAUGGUAGCAGAAUCAAUCAUGGAAGAUACCACUACAGAGGAGAGCACUAUGGUCAUUAAAAUGGGUAUGUGUUUUGUUGUUUGUUACAGUGAUCUCUCUAAUAGGGAUGGG